UGGGGAAUAUUGGACAAUGGGCGCAAGCCUGAUCCAGCCAUGUCGCGUGAGUGAUGAAGGCCCUAGGGUUGUAAAGCUCUUUCGCCAGGGACGCGGUACCUGGAUAAGAAGCCCCGGCUAACUUCGUGCCAGCAGCCGCGGUAAUACGAAGGGGGCUAGCGUUGUUCGGAAUCACUGGGCGUAAAGCGCACGUAGGCGGAUCUUUAAGUCAGGGGUGAAAUCCCGAGGCUCAACCUCGGAACUGCCUUUGAUACUGGAGGUCUCGAGUCCGGGAGAGGUGAGUGGAACUGCGAGUGUAGAGGUGAAAUUCGUAGAUAUUCGCAAGAACACCAGUGGCGAAGGCGGCUCACUGGCCCGGUACUGACGCUGAGGUGCGAAAGCGUGGGGAGCAAACAGGAUUAGAUACCCGGGUAGU
RNAcentral lists this ribosomal RNA (415 nucleotides) under uncultured bacterium. Its description in RNAcentral is "bacterial SSU rRNA". It matches the Rfam family "Bacterial small subunit ribosomal RNA", at positions 355 to 794 of the family's 1533-position model. The record is from RNAcentral.